RNAcentral lists this ribosomal RNA (850 nucleotides) under Nocardiopsis sp. RNAcentral's name for it is "bacterial SSU rRNA". It matches the Rfam family "Bacterial small subunit ribosomal RNA", at positions 89 to 941 of the family's 1533-position model. The record is from RNAcentral. Lineage: Bacteria; Bacillati; Actinomycetota; Actinomycetes; Streptosporangiales; Nocardiopsidaceae.
GUACGAGCGGCGACGGGUGAGUAACACGUGAGCAACCUGCCCCUGACUCCGGGAUAAGCGGUGGAAACGCCGUCUAAUACCGGAUACGACCCGCCACCUCAUGGUGGAGGGUGGAAAGUUUUUCGGUCAGGGAUGGGCUCGCGGCCUAUCAGCUUGUUGGUGGGGUAACGGCCUACCAAGGCGAUUACGGGUAGCCGGCCUGAGAGGGCGACCGGCCACACUGGGACUGAGACACGGCCCAGACUCCUGCGGGAGGCAGCAGUGGGGAAUAUUGCGCAAUGGGCGAAAGCCUGACGCAGCGACGCCGCGUGGGGGAUGACGGCCUUCGGGUUGUAAACCUCUUUUACCACCAACGCAGGCUCGAAGUUUUCUUCGGGUUGACGGUAGGUGGGGAAUAAGGACCGGCUAACUACGUGCCAGCAGCCGCGGUAAUACGUAGGGUCCGAGCGUUGUCCGGAAUUAUUGGGCGUAAAGAGCUCGUAGGCGGCGUGUCGCGUCUGCUGUGAAAGACCGGGGCUUAACUCCGGUUCUGCAGUGGAUACGGGCAUGCUAGAGGUAGGUAGGGGAGACUGGAAUUCCUGGUGUAGCGGUGAAAUGCGCAGAUAUCAGGAGGAACACCGGUGGCGAAGGCGGGUCUCUGGGCCUUACCUGACGCUGAGGAGCGAAAGCAUGGGGAGCGAACAGGAUUAGAUACUCUGGUAGUCCAUGCCGUAAACGUUGGGCGCUAGGUGUGGGGACUUUCCACGGUUUCCGCGCCGUAGCUAACGCAUUAAGCGCCCCGCCUGGGGAGUACGGCCGCAAGGCUAAAACUCAAAGGAAUUGACGGGGGCCCGCACAGCGGCGGAGCAUG